This 507-nucleotide ribosomal RNA is filed under the name uncultured bacterium. RNAcentral describes it as "partial 16S ribosomal RNA". It matches the Rfam family "Bacterial small subunit ribosomal RNA", at positions 28 to 507 of the family's 1533-position model. The record is from RNAcentral.
GACGAACGCUGGCGGCGUGCCUAAUACAUGCAAGUCGAACGCUUCUUUCCUCCCGAGUGCUUGCACUCAAUUGGAAAGAGGAGUGGCGGACGGGUGAGUAACACGUGGGUAACCUACCCAUCAGAGGGGGAUAACACUUGGAAACAGGUGCUAAUACCGCAUACAGUUUAUGCCGCAUGGCAUAAGAGUGAAAGGCGCUUUCGGGUGUCGCUGAUGGAUGGACCCGCGGUGCAUUAGCUAGUUGGUGAGGUAACGGCUCACCAAGGCCACGAUGCAUAGCCGACCUGAGAGGGUGAUCGGCCACACUGGGACUGAGACACGGCCCAGACUCCUACGGGAGGCAGCGGUAGGGAAUCUUCGGCAAUGGACGAAAGUCUGACCGAGCAACGCCGCGUGAGUGAAGAAGGUUUUCGGAUCGUAAAACUCUGUUGUUAGAGAAGAACAAGGACGUUAGUAACUGAACGUCCCCUGACGGUAUCUAACCAGAAAGCCACGGCUAACUACGUG